UUGCUCGAUAGUGUUCGCGUUGUUGUGAAGCCGCAGGGCUGGUAAGCGCAAAGCCAGCACCUCGCUAUGAGCAA
This is a non-coding RNA of Chlorobium chlorochromatii CaD3, 74 nucleotides long. The record is from Rfam. NCBI's taxonomy places the organism in Bacteria, Pseudomonadati, Chlorobiota, Chlorobiia, Chlorobiales, Chlorobiaceae.